CGUGUCGUGAGAUGUUGGGUUAAGUCCCGCAACGAGCCGCAACCCUCGUCCUAUGUUGCCAGCGGGUCAUGCCGGGGACUCAUGGGAGACUGCCGGGGUCAACUCGGAGGAAGUGGGAUGACGUCAAAUCAUCAUGCCCCUUAUGUCUUGGGCUUCACGCAUGCUACAAUGGCCGGUACAAAGGGCUGCGAUACCGCGAGGUGGAGACGAAUCCCAGAAAGCCGGUCUCAGUUCGGAUUGGGGUCUGCAACUCGACCCCAUGAAGUCGGAGUCGCUAGUAAUCGCAGAUCAGCAACGCUGCGGUGAAUACGUUCCCGGGCCUU
RNAcentral lists this ribosomal RNA (323 nucleotides) under uncultured Cellulosimicrobium sp. RNAcentral describes it as "bacterial SSU rRNA". It matches the Rfam family "Bacterial small subunit ribosomal RNA", at positions 1061 to 1382 of the family's 1533-position model. The record is from RNAcentral. Lineage: Bacteria; Bacillati; Actinomycetota; Actinomycetes; Micrococcales; Promicromonosporaceae.